AUUGAACGCUGGCGGCAGGCCUAACACCUGCAAGUCGAGCCGAGCGGCGGACGGGUGAGUAAUGCCUAGGAAUCUGCCUGUUCGUGGGGGAUAACGUCCGGAAACGGGUGCUAAUCACUCAUACUAUCAGAUGAGCCUAGGUCGGAUUGGCUAGUUGGUGGGGUAAAGGCCUACCAAGGCGACGAUCCGUCACUGGUCUGAGAGGAUGAUAAGUCAAACGUGAACUGAGACACGGUCCAGACUCAGACGGGAGGCAGCAGUGGGGAAUAUUGUACAAUGGGCGAAAGCCUGAUCCAGCCAUGCCUCGUGUGUGAAGAAGGUCUUCGGAUUGUAAAGCACUUUAAGUUGGGAGGCGUUACCAACAGAAUAAGCACCGGCUAACUUCGUGCCAGCAGCCGCGGUAAUAC
This 407-nucleotide ribosomal RNA is filed under the name uncultured bacterium. RNAcentral describes it as "partial 16S ribosomal RNA". It matches the Rfam family "Bacterial small subunit ribosomal RNA", at positions 30 to 526 of the family's 1533-position model. The record is from RNAcentral.